GUGCUCACUUCAGCACAUAUACUAAAAUUGGAACGAUACAGAGAAGAUCAGCAUGACCCCAGUGCAAGGAUAACACACUCAUUUGUGAGCCAUUCCAUUCUAUU
Molecule: small nuclear RNA, 104 nt
Organism: Nannospalax galili (Upper Galilee mountains blind mole rat)
Lineage: Eukaryota; Metazoa; Chordata; Mammalia; Rodentia; Spalacidae
Source: Ensembl